GAUUUCCCUAGUAACGGCGAGUGAAGAGGAAAGAGCUCAAAGUUGGAACCUGUUUGGCCUAGCUAAACCGGAUUGUAGACUGUAGAAGUGUUUUCCAGGCAAGCCGAGUAAAUAAGUCCUUUGGAACAGGGCAUCAUAGAGGGUGAGAAUCCCGUCUUUGGCUUGAGCAUUUGCCUUUUGUGAUACGCUUUCAAAGAGUCAGGUUGUUUGGGAAUGCAGCCUAAAUUGGGUGGUAAAUCUCACCUAAAGCUAAAUAUUGGCGAGAAACCGAUAGCGAACAAGUACCGUGAGGGAAAGAUGAAAAGAACUUUGAAAAGAGAGUUAAACAGUAUGUGAAAUUGUUAAAAGGGAACCGUUUGGAGCCAGACUGGCUUGUCUGUAAUCAAUCUAGGCUUCGGCCUGGAUGCACUUGCAGGCUAUGCCUGCCAACGACAAUUUGACUUGAGGGAAAAAACUAGGGGAAAUGUGGCCCACUUGUGGGUGUUAUAGUCCCUUAGAAAAUACCUUGGGUUGGAUUGAGGAACGCAGCGAAUGCUUUUUGGCGAGUUUUCCAGGAAGGUUUUCUGAGGUACUACGGUAUCAAGGUUGAUCUUUUUGGUUAUACUUCUAUUCGCUUAGGUUGUUGGCUUAAUGACUCUAAAUGA
Molecule: ribosomal RNA, 644 nt
Filed under: Rhizopus arrhizus
Lineage: Eukaryota; Fungi; Mucoromycota; Mucoromycetes; Mucorales; Rhizopodaceae
Description: LSU rRNA
Rfam family: Eukaryotic large subunit ribosomal RNA
Source: RNAcentral